RNAcentral lists this unclassified non-coding RNA (386 nucleotides) under uncultured Diversisporaceae. RNAcentral describes it as "sequence contains 18S rRNA gene". The record is from RNAcentral. Lineage: Eukaryota; Fungi; Glomeromycota; Glomeromycetes; Diversisporales.
CCCAACUAUCCCUAUUAAUCAUUACGGUGAUCCUAGAAACCAACGAAAUAGAAUCAGUCCGUCCUAUUUCAUUAUUCCAUGCUAAUGUAUUCAGACGAUAGUCUGCUUUAAACACUCUAAUUUUUUCAAAGUAACAGUCCUGAUUUCCCAUCACACCAAAUAAAUGGCAUGAAAGUUCCUCAGAAGGUAGAGAUCCAUCUCACCAGUGCAGACAAUUAAGCCUGACCAAUGGGUAGACCCCGAGGUUCAACUACGAGCUUUUUAACUGCAACAACUUUAAUAUACGCUAUUGGAGCUGGAAUAAUGAAAUAGGACAUCCGAUUCUAUUUUGUUGGUUUCUAGGAUCGAUGUAAUGAUUAAUAGGGAUAGUUGGGAAGCACCUACAC